Molecule: ribosomal RNA, 750 nt
Filed under: Metabacillus indicus
Lineage: Bacteria; Bacillati; Bacillota; Bacilli; Caryophanales; Bacillaceae
Description: bacterial SSU rRNA
Rfam family: Bacterial small subunit ribosomal RNA
Source: RNAcentral
CGGACGGGUGAGUAACACGUGGGCAACCUGCCUGUAAGACUGGGAUAACUCCGGGAAACCGGAGCUAAUACCGGAUACUAUGUCAAACCGCAUGGUUUGACAUUCAAAGACGGUUUCGGCUGUCACUUACAGAUGGGCCCGCGGCGCAUUAGCUAGUUGGUGAGGUAAUGGCUCACCAAGGCGACGAUGCGUAGCCGACCUGAGAGGGUGAUCGGCCACACUGGGACUGAGACACGGCCCAGACUCCUACGGGAGGCAGCAGUAGGGAAUCUUCCGCAAUGGACGAAAGUCUGACGGAGCAACGCCGCGUGAGUGAUGAAGGUUUUCGGAUCGUAAAACUCUGUUGUCAGGGAAGAACAAGUGCCGGAGUAACUGCCGGCACCUUGACGGUACCUGACCAGAAAGCCACGGCUAACUACGUGCCAGCAGCCGCGGUAAUACGUAGGUGGCAAGCGUUGUCCGGAAUUAUUGGGCGUAAAGCGCGCGCAGGCGGUUUCUUAAGUCUGAUGUGAAAGCCCCCGGCUCAACCGGGGAGGGUCAUUGGAAACUGGGAAACUUGAGUGCAGAAGAGGAGAGUGGAAUUCCACGUGUAGCGGUGAAAUGCGUAGAGAUGUGGAGGAACACCAGUGGCGAAGGCGACUCUCUGGUCUGUAACUGACGCUGAGGCGCGAAAGCGUGGGGAGCGAACAGGAUUAGAUACCCUGGUAGUCCACGCCGUAAACGAUGAGUGCUAAGUGUUAGAGGGUUUCC